This 254-nucleotide ribosomal RNA is filed under the name uncultured bacterium. RNAcentral's name for it is "partial 16S ribosomal RNA". It matches the Rfam family "Bacterial small subunit ribosomal RNA", at positions 524 to 776 of the family's 1533-position model. The record is from RNAcentral.
UACGGGGGGAGCAAGCGUUGUUCGGAUUUACUGGGCGUAAAGGGCGCGUAGGCGGCCAGCACAAGUCGGUUGUGAAAGCCCCGGGCUUAACUUGGGAAUUGCGCUCGAAACUACUUUGCUGGAGUGUGGCAGAGGAAGGUGGAAUUCCACGUGUAGCGGUGAAAUGCGUAGAGAUGUGGAGGAACACCAAUGGCGAAGGCAGCCUUCUGGGCCAACACUGACGCUCAUGCACGAAAGCGUGGGGAGCAAACAGG